AAUAAGUGUUUAUGGCACUUCUUAAAUCCAUAUCCACCUUGUGUGCAAUGUCAGUCGGUUUCUUCAUGGAAUCGGCCAAACAUCAACUUUAUUUUUUAACUGUCUAUCUGAAAACUAUUAUGAAUAAAACAAUUCAAAUACAACUUUCAACAACGGAUCUCUUGGCUCU
Molecule: unclassified non-coding RNA, 169 nt
Filed under: rhizosphere metagenome
Description: partial ribosomal RNA internal transcribed spacer region
Source: RNAcentral